This 7018-nucleotide long non-coding RNA is filed under the name Citrus sinensis (sweet orange). RNAcentral describes it as "long non-coding RNA (CSIN_LNC004456)". The record is from RNAcentral. Lineage: Eukaryota; Viridiplantae; Streptophyta; Magnoliopsida; Sapindales; Rutaceae.
AUGAAUUGAGAGCCUUCCGGAGAGAUCUAAGAAAGAGAGAAAAAGAGAAAGAAUCUUCUUGUUCCUUGUAAUCUCAUCUGUAUAAGCUCUGUAAAUUUCAUCUGGUAUCAUCAAUUACGCUUUUUCUGUGGCUUCUCCCGUGGAUGUAGAUUGUGCAUUCAUGCACAAUUGAACCACGUUAAACCUUUCUUGUGGUGUGUGUUUUGUUUCCAUUUCAGUUCCGAUUUCAUAUUCUUUAAUCUCCUUUAACCUAUAGCUGAGGAUUUUUUAGACAUUGAAAGCAUCAGAUCAAUUGUUGAUUCACAGUACAACUUGUAUAGAUCUUGACAAGGUUCUUGGGCAGUGGCAGUUUGCCUCAAGGAACUAAGGUAAUCAGAUCACUACAGCUAGCGUUUAGAUCAUUGUAUAUUUGUGUUGGUUUGGUUUCCGCAUGAAAUGUAUAUUCAUCAAAUUCACAAUGCAUGUAAGCAGUCCGUUUAUAGUUUAUAAAGAUUUUUCGGCUCAUAAUUUCUUCAAGAUUUUUGGAUCAAUGCUUCCUCAGCAGUAGUAAAUUUUUGCUGAAUUAUUUUCGGAAAAUUUUUCUGCAACUAGCUUAUUCUGAAAUCUCUUCAGUCUUAUGAGGCUGGAAAGACAGCAUCAAGUGUUGGAGGUGAACAAGAAGCGAACUUUGAAAAAAGCAAAAGAGACAGAACAAGGGAUUGUGAACAGGGUAAGGUGUCCUUUUCCUGAUAUAAUUGAAGUACGACUUCAAAGGAUGAAUGCGUUGAGUAGACACUUUUUCCUUCGAAAUGAUAUCUAAACUAUGCUGCUAAAUGGUUUUAGUGUUAUAAAACUUUGGAAAUGAGUUACAUUUUAGCCUCGAUUCUCUGAUUUUUUAUAUGUCUUUCCAUUCUCACAGUUUUAUGAAGAACUUGUAGAAAUAAAUAAAAGCCUUUGUUGUUAAUACUAACAGCAAAAUGUGUUGUGAAUUCGGCUUUGAUAAGACUAACCAAAUUCUCCCCAAGACACUAAUUCUGUAUCAAUGGUUUGAAGAAUUAACAGCACAGAUUAUCCAGCAACAAUCACACACAAGAAUCAAAGCGUUAAAGAAACAAAGAGGACACCAAAUAUAAGUGGUUCAACACCAAGAAGUGGUGCCUACAUCCACUGGAAACAAAGCAACAGUCUUUCACUAAUUGAGAUCACAAACUUUACAAGAAUAGAAUUCGAUUUACAGAGAACAAGAACUUGUUAACCCCUUUCUCUCUCUAUCUUUUUCUCUACUCUCAGUGUUUCCCGAAUCAUCAUGUGUAGAUGAUGACUAAACCUACACCUUUUAACCUCUGUUUUCUGGGUUGCUAACUACCAUUCCCGCCAAAUCUAUUCAAGGAGCUCUACCUCACGUGCUUGACACAAGCUGGAACAAGUGCGUUUAAGAAACGGCACUCGGAGAUGUCGUUUCUUGAUCCAAGCAAAGAGUUAGCUUCAAUACACGUGCAAACCACAUGUAUUACUUAAGACAGAAUGACAGCUGAGAUUAUGUCGGUUCUGGCUUCAAGAACUCCACAAGUGACAAGUCAUCCGAGACUGAAUCCUCUAAACGACUUGUAGUACUUGAGUUUCGAGUUCACUGUUUAUCAGUCUCCACCUUGAACUCAGAACUCUAGCUACUCCUAUAUACUUUAUUCCCUUUCCUUUGCAGCUGAUCAGAAACUGCAAAUUCUUGCAAGGCUCAAACAAAAGUUGAGCUUGGCAGAAGGCACAGCUUUAGUCAACAUAUCGGCUGGAUUUUGAUCAGUGUGAACCUUGAGCAUCUUCACAGUUCCCUUUGAAACUUCAAGUCUUACAAAAUGAAGCUGCUUUACAUCGAUAUGUUUUGUUCUUUCAUGAUGGGUCUGGUUCUUACUUAAAUGUAUUACACUCUGGCUAUCACAAUAUACUUCAACUGUUUUUUGUUUUGCUCCUAACUCUGAGACCAUUCCUUUUAACCAGAUGGCUUCCUUAAAAGCUUCUGCAACUGUUGUAUAUUCGACUUCAGUUGUGGACAAAGCUACCACACUUUGCAGAGUAGCUUUCCAGUUCACAGUGCAGCCUCCCAAAGUGAAUAUAAAACCUGUCUGAGACCUCCUUUUAUCAAGAUCUCCAGCGAAGUCUGAGUCAACAUACCCCACCAGCUUGUGCCCUUCCUGUUUUAACCCUCCAUAUAGCAGACCAAACUCUAUAGUGCCUUUCAGGUACCUCAUUAUCCACUGGACUGCCCUCCAAUGCUCAUAACCUGGAUUUUCCAUGAAUCUACUCACUAUACUCACAGCAUGUGAGAUAUCAGGUCUAGUGAGAACCAUGGCAUACAUGAGGCUCCCAACUGCACUGGAGUAAGGUAUCCUUGCCAUUUUUCUUGCUCUGCAUCAAUUUGUGGACACUGUGCAGCAGACAGCUUGAAGUGAUUUGCCAAAGGUGUUUGAACAGACUUGGAUUCAUGCAUCCCAAAUCUAAGCAACACCUUCUUAACAUAGCUCUGUUGGGUUAAAAACAUAAGCUUCCUUCUCCUGUCUCUGAUAAUUUCCAUACCUAAGAUCUUCCUUGCAGCUUCAAGAUCUUUCAUAUCGAAUUCACUGCUCAAGAGAUUCUUUAAAUGACUGAUUUCAUCUAUGCUGUGACAUGCUAUAAGCAUGUCAUCCACAUACAGCAUAACAUAAAUCAUCUUUCCAUCACCAAUGUCCCUAAAGUACACGCAACAAUCAUAAUUGCAUCUCUUGUAGGCAUGUUUUGUCAUAAAACUGUCAAACUUCAAGUACCAUUGCCUAGGAGACUGCUUUAAUCCAUAUAAAGAUUUCUUUAGUAAGCACACAUGAUCUUCCUUACCCGACACCACAUACCCCUCAGGCUGUUCCAUUACAAUUUCUUCUUGUAAUUCACCAUGCAGGAAUGUUGUUUUAACAUCCAUCUGCUCCAGGUACAUGUCUUGAAUGGCAACUAAAGCUAAGAUGACUCUGAUGGAGGCAUGUUUCACAACUGGAGAGAAGAUUUCAUUGAAAUCAAUCCCCUCUCUUUGUGUAAAGCCUCUUGCUACCAGCCUAGCUUUAAACCUACUAGGUUCAGCAUCAGAUAUACCUUCCUUAACUUUGAAGAUCCAUUUGAAGCUAACAGUCUUCCUUUUUUCUGGUCUAACUAUCAGCUUCCAAGUUCCAUUUUUCAUUAGUGAUUCAAUUUCCUCAUCCAUAGCCUCCUUCCACUUCAGCUUAUCCCUGCUAUUUAUAGCUUCUUUAUAGGUUCUUGGCUCUUCCUCAUUUACCUCUUGUGCAGCUAUUAAUGCAUAAGCUAUCAAAUCUGCUACUGUAUACCUCUUAGGUGGUCUUACAGCUCUCCUCUUUCUAUCCCUGACCAACUGAUAAGAAUUAUCUUCAUUCUCAGCUGGCUCUGACUCCUGAACAACAUCAGAUCCAUCAGUAACCCUUUCUAAAUCUCCUUCAGUUUCUGAUUCAGUCCUAUCUUGUUCAUGGGACUCCACCUCAAACUGAACAAUCCCAGGUCUUAUUUUUGAUAUAUGAUCUUUGGAUUCAGUGGUUUUGGAUUUGUUUAAGAUUUCUGACUCAUUGAAAGUUACAUCCCUGCUGAUAAUGCAUUUUGGUGGCUUCAGAUCAAUGCACCAUAGCCUAUAGCCUUUAACUCCAUCAGGGUAUCCCAGAAAUCUACACCUUAAAGCUCUUGGCUCUAAUUUGCCUUGUUUGACAUGUGCAUAAGCAACACAGCCAAAGAUUCUCAGUUUAGAGUAAUCUGCAACCCUUCCAGACCAUAGCUCGAUAGGUGUUUUACAUUCUAUUGCUGUAGAUGGACUUCUAUUUACCAAGUAACAUGUUGUGUUUAAGGCCUCUGCCCAGAGUGACUUAGGCAGCUUUGAGUAUAGCAGUAUACACCUCACCUUGUCCAUUAAGGUUCUGUUCAUUCUCUCAGCAAGACCAUUUUGCUGAGGUGUGUGUAUGACUGUUUUAUGCCUCAUAAUCCCAUGUCUUUCACAGAAAUCUCCAAACUCUUUGUUGCAGAAUUCCAAUCCAUUAUCUAUUCUUAGAGCUUUUACUUUCAAACUUGUCUGUGUUUCUACCAGAAUUUUCCACCUCUUAAACCUUUCCAAAACUUCAUCUUUGGUUUUGAGUACAUACACCCAAACCAUCCUUGAAUAGUCAUCUAUUAAGGAUAAGAAAUACCUACAGCCACCAAGAGAAUCUACUUGUGCAGGCCCCCACAGAUCAAACUUGAGCCUGAAAGCCUUCCCUAGGAUACAGUCUUCACAGAACCCCAAAGAACUCAGCUUGUCACUUCCAAACACCCCCUUCUUUUGAAGCUCCUUCAGUCCCCUUUCACUCAUAUGCCCCAACCUCAAGUGCCAUAAUCUUGCUUUGUCUUCACUCUUCUCAGUGACACUUGCCUCUCCAACAGUUGUAUGUCCAUUCAGCACAUACAAACCAUUUUGCUUGGUACUUUUCAUUAUGACUAUUGAGCCUCUGAUAACUUUCAAUGACCCAUUUUCAGCCUUAAUGACACAUCCAGUUUGAUCAAGCAUGCCAAUAGAUAUUAGGUUCUUUUUAAGCUUAGGAACAUGCCUAACCUGAGUUAGUUCUCUAACCAUGCCAUCAUACAUCUUAAGGCUUACAAUCCUAAUCCCAAUUACUUUACAAACUGAAUUAUUUCCCAUCAGCACCAUACCCCCAUCACAUGACUGAUAUGUAGUAAAGUAAUUUCUAUUUGGACUCAUAUGAAAAGUACAUCCAGAGUCUAGUACCCACUGACCUUGAGUUUUUUCUUUUGUGGCAAUGAAGACUUCAGCUGUCUCAAAAUUGGUUUCUUCCGUGGCUAUUGCUGCAUUUCCAUAUUUGUCUUUUGAUUCCUUUUCCUUUGUUUUUCUCUCAGGGCAAUCCCUCUUGAAAUGCCCUUCUUUAUGGCAAUGAAAACACUUCAAAUGUUUUUGCUUUGACUUUGAUCUCCCUUGCUUCUUUCCUUUGUACUCCCUUUUUUCAGAUCUUCCCCUUACCAUCAACCCUUCACUUGAUUCACUCUCUGAGUUAUCUUGUUUGUCUUUUAACUUCUUGGUACCAAGAGCAGAUUUAACCUCUUCCAAGGAGAGUGAUUGCCUUCCAUAUAACAAGGCAUCCACAAAAUGUUCAUAUGAUUUUGGUAAAGAACUGAUUAAUAGCAAGGCCUUGCUAUCAUCACUCAGUCCUUCAUCAAUUGUUUUCAGUUCAUUACAAACUUUAUUAAACUCAUCUAUGUGUUCAUCAAGUGAUGCUCCUUCAAUCAUCCUCAGUGAGAACAUCUUUUUCUUGAUGUAUAGCCUGUUUGCUAAGGACUUUGUCAUAUACAAUUGUUCCAGUUUUGCCCAGAGUCCAGCAACAGUCUUUUCUUUAACAACUUCCCUUAUCACUGAGUCACCAAGACUGAGGAUGAUGGUGCUUCUUGCCUUUUUGUCGAUCUCAGCCAUCUGUUCUGGAGUUCUUGAAGAAGAGGCUUCUGCAUUUCCACUCUUGAUGACGGGAUCAAUGGCAUCUCCCAGACCUUGUGUGAUUAACAAUGCUUUCAUCUUGAUCCUCCACAUAUUGAAAUCAUUCUGACCCGUGAACUUCUCAAGAUCCACCUUGUUAGUCAUUUCUUGAACCUUGAUGCAGAAAAUAGGGCUCUGAUACCAAUUUGUUGUGAAUUCGGCUUUGAUAAGACUAACCAAAUUCUCCCCAAGACACUAAUUCUGUAUUAAUGGUUUGAAGAAUUAACAGCACAGAUUAUCCAGCAACAAUCACACACAAGAAUCAAAGCAUUAAAGAAACAAAGAUGACACCAAAUAUAAGUGGUUCAGCACCAAGAAGUGGUGCGUACAUCCACUGGAAACAAAGCAACAGUCUUUCACUAAUUGAGAUCACAAACUUUACAAGAAUAGAAUUCAAUUCACAGAGAACAAGAACUUGUUAACCCCUUUCUCUCUCUAUCUUUUUCUCUACUCUCAGUGUUUCCCGAAUCAUCAUGUGUAGAUGAUGACUAAACCUGCACCUUUUAACCUCUGUUUUCUGGGUUGCUAACUACCAUUCCUGCCAAAUCUAUUCAAGGAUCUCUACCUCACGUGCUUGACACAAGCUGGAACAAGUGUGUUUAAGAAACGGCACUCGGAGAUGUCGUUUCUUGAUCCAAGCAAAGAGUUAGCUUCAAUACACGUGCAAACCACGUGUAUUACUUAAGACAGAAUGACAGUUGAGAUUAUGUCGGUUCUGGCUUCAAGAACUCCACAAGUGACAAGUCAUCCGAGAUUGAAUCCUCUAAACGACUUGUAGUACUUGAGUUUUGAGUUCACUGUUUAUCAAAAUGCUUCUUACAUCAGUGCAUCUUUAUGAGUGAUAAUAGUAGCUAUAUAGGAAGAAAUGUUGAAUUAGUUAGAUACCUCUGUCAGGUUGAUGGCAUUCUUAAUCUCAGUGCGUCAAUUAGCAACCAUUUUGUUGAUAGCCAUUGUGCAUUGAUUCAAUAAAUGAUAAUAUUCUUGAAUUUCAUUUUGUAAGAUCACCAUUUUGGUUUUAAAUGUUACUUUGUAAGAUAUCUAUUUGAAAUUGUAUGAUGAUGAAAGUAUUGGGGUAUGCAACCCUAGAACAAGUGCCGCAUCAGGCGAUGAUCGGAGAGCUGCAUUCAAUGCUGCUGCCAAUGGACCUGUAAGCCAUCGCAGCUACUCUCGGUCUGCGUCCAAUGGUCACAGCCGACAUUAUAAUGAUCGGCCGAGAAUGGUGAUGUGAGAUCUAGUUCAAACUUCGACAAUCGUCGUACUCCUAAUCGGGUGCCACCGCCGCCAUCAACACGGUCCGGCUCUAAGUACUUCUAGUUGACUUACAGAUUUUGGUUGACAAUUCAUAUUUUCACUGCAUAUUUUUAGUAUUUUCACUACAUAUUUUCAGUGAGUAAAGCCUUGCUUAACCACUCAGUGACUCCGGUACUUGGUUUAAAAAUCACUUUGUUAGAAUUUCUAGAAGAGGGUGUUUUGUGGACAUAGGACUCUAUAGUUCCUGAAUGUCAG